RNAcentral lists this ribosomal RNA (617 nucleotides) under Pseudoalteromonas tetraodonis. RNAcentral describes it as "bacterial LSU rRNA". It matches the Rfam family "Bacterial large subunit ribosomal RNA", at positions 593 to 1212 of the family's 2925-position model. Lineage: Bacteria; Pseudomonadati; Pseudomonadota; Gammaproteobacteria; Alteromonadales; Pseudoalteromonadaceae. The record is from RNAcentral.
GUGACUGCGUACCUUUUGUAUAAUGGGUCAGCGACUUAUAUUUUGUAGCGAGGUUAACCGAUUAGGGUAGCCGUAGGGAAACCGAGUCUUAACUGGGCGAAUAGUUGCAAGGUAUAGACCCGAAACCCGGUGAUCUAGCCAUGGGCAGGUUGAAGGUUGAGUAACAUCAACUGGAGGACCGAACCCACUAACGUUGAAAAGUUAGGGGAUGACCUGUGGUUAGGAGUGAAAGGCUAAUCAAACCGGGAGAUAGCUGGUUCUCCCCGAAAUCUAUUUAGGUAGAGCCUCGGACGAAUACUUACGGGGGUAGAGCACUGUUAAGGCUAGGGGGUCAUCCCGACUUACCAACCCUUUGCAAACUCCGAAUACCGUAAAGUACUAUCCGGGAGACACACGGCGGGUGCUAACGUCCGUCGUGAAGAGGGAAACAACCCAGACCGCCAGCUAAGGUCCCAAAGUCAUAGUUAAGUGGGAAACGAUGUGGAAAGGCCCAGACAGCCAGGAGGUUGGCUUAGAAGCAGCCAUCCUUUAAAGAAAGCGUAAUAGCUCACUGGUCGAGUCGGUCUGCGCGGAAGAUGUAACGGGGCUAAACUAUGCACCGAAGCUGCGGAUUCAAA